RNAcentral lists this ribosomal RNA (331 nucleotides) under uncultured low G+C Gram-positive bacterium 5ev. Its description in RNAcentral is "bacterial SSU rRNA". It matches the Rfam family "Bacterial small subunit ribosomal RNA", at positions 9 to 327 of the family's 1533-position model. Lineage: Bacteria; Bacillati; Bacillota. The record is from RNAcentral.
GAGUUUGAUCCUGGCUCAGGACGAACGCUGGCGGCGUGCCUAACACAUGCAAGUCGAACGGAGAUUUUAGCAAUGAAGUCUUAGUGGCGAACGGGUGAGUAACGCGUAGACAACCUACCUUCUAGAUGGGGACAACACUGCGAAAGUGGUGCUAAUACCGAAUGUUGUAUCGAAGCUGCAUAGCUUUGCUACGAAAGGUGGCCUCUAUUCAUAAGCUACCACUAGAAGAUGGGUCUGCGUCUGAUUAGCUAGUUGGUGAGGUAAUGGCUCACCAAGGCGACGAUCAGUAGCCGGUCUGAGAGGAUGAACGGCCACAUUGGGACUGAGACAC